CGGCCUGCCACGUGGAGCCUGUUGCGGGGAGUGAUGGAGCCACGCAGAAUCCAUCGCAGGAGGUGGAGCAGAGUCAUGGCCGUUAUUGUGGCCUGUUAGGGAGUCUAGGCCUGUCGACCGAAGCUCAAUUGAAGUGCCUGGCAGAGAGAGGUGGCUAUCCAUUUGAAAGGAGCUCGGAUGUUGCUGGCGGGCCAUCUACCGUUGGGUGCCUCGAGCAUUAGUACUGUAGGCGAGGGCCAUCUGUGGUUGGAGCCCAGUUAGAGGCUUUCUAUAGAUGAAG
Molecule: long non-coding RNA, 280 nt
Filed under: Elaeis guineensis (African oil palm)
Lineage: Eukaryota; Viridiplantae; Streptophyta; Magnoliopsida; Arecales; Arecaceae
Description: long non-coding RNA (EGUI_LNC052006)
Source: RNAcentral